This is a long non-coding RNA of Felis catus (domestic cat), 2335 nucleotides long. RefSeq lists it as uncharacterized. The transcript is spliced from 7 exons. NCBI's taxonomy places the organism in Eukaryota, Metazoa, Chordata, Mammalia, Carnivora, Felidae. The record is from RefSeq and is a predicted model, not a curated record.
UGGGUUCCAGUAUUCUCUUUGCGGAAUGGGGAUGAUAACAUCCAAAGUCCCGCCAGCCUCACUGAGAGCCUGGGAAGAUCAAAACACGCUGAAUCACAGUCUACCCGUUCGAGCUGGUAGUUAGCACAUGUUUGCGACGAUCAGGCGCCACGCUAAGCGGCUUACGUGCGCUAUCUCGUCUGACCAUCAUAAGGGCGUCAGAGGGUGCUUUACCGUGGACGGACCUCUAUUUAGGAAAACUUGGCAUCUAAAAGCCCACAGGGACAAAAUCGAUAUAUUAAGGCAACCAGUCAAUCACGGUUUGCCGAGGACUGAUAGGAUUUUAACACCGAAAGGCCCAAGUCCCCGGAAACCCUUCAGUGCUAAGCACACCAGCUCCACGAGGGGGCAUCCCAGGAGUCCACGUUUUAUGCUGAGCGGCUGUGUCCACUAAAGCUCCAAAUGAUUGGACCCGAAUGGACACCUGACCCAAAAGCAGCCAACCCAUUGGCUGUACAGCAACCAAUGACCUAUGUGGUUCUUGGGUGUGUAGCCUGUGUGCCUGGAAAAAAGGAAGCCAUACCAGCAAUCCCAAAGUCGGAUGGUGGAUGUAUUGCUUAUGUUGACAAGGAGGGAAGGGAAUGAAAGGCCCUGAAAACACCGGGUUCUUCCUGCGUUUAACUUCCCCCUGGGGAUGGAUAUGGCUCCUUCCUGAUUCAGGCUGACCUUUACCAUACAUCACUGCAAAGAAAUCCCCGCGGGGUUGGUUAUCACGGUGAGCUGCUAGUCAUCUGAAAGGCGAGGUCACUGCCUCUUUGUAAGGUCUGCUCACACUGUGAAAAGGGCCAUUGGAGGCAUGACAAGGAGGCUCGCCCAGGCCGUUCCACUCCGCCGACUUCCAGAUCUGGGCCGAGUCGAUUGCUUUUCAUUUCCCAGUACCUGAGAUCCUGCCAUCGCAUCGGCCUCCUUGACACUGGCCCCGGGUUUCCAGACGAGGACAUGGCUCCAGCUCACCCAGUUCACGCGCCAGUAAUUGGAUGAAAAUGUUCCAGACUAGAAGGGGCUCCCAGAGAAGGCUGGGAAAACAGCCCUCAAGGUUCAAACUGACAGAAUGGAGCCUGGCUGCUCAGAGUUGGUUUCUAAAGGCAGAAUGACCUCUGAAAUCUUGCCGCAGGACUUACAGGCUGCUAAUUGGCACAAUGGGUAAACAUGCCGCAUGACCGUAAUCGAUGAGAACGAUUUCUCCAGACCCUGGACGAAGCCGGUGGUGUUAGUGCAGCGCCCUACUGUGCACGCUGUGGGGGAGGGGGAGGCCGGCCUGCAGGCUACGCCCUGAUUUCUCCGGGCCACAGAAGGAAGUGUGAACAAAGGGAUACAUAAACCACAAUCAGAGGACAUGAUUCUUCCUCCCGUCUCUUUUACUAUAGUCACGAUGCCAGCCUUCUAAGCGUUUGUGUUAUUUGUAUAGGCAACAGGCUUCCUAAGCUGCUUAAAAUGAACCGCUGAGGGUCACCUGGGUGGCUCAGUCGGUUAAGCUACCGACUUGAUUUUGGCUCGGGUCUGAUCUCCCGGUUGAUGGGAUCCAGCCUCCGGUCUGGCUUCCUGCUGACAGCAGGGGUCUGCUUGGGAUUCUUUUUCUUUCUCUCUCUGCCCCUCCCCCAUGCGUGCUCUGUCUCUCUCAAAAUAAAUAAAUAAAUACGCAUCUAAAAAGAAAUGAGCCACUUACAAUCUUCUUUGCGGGUUGGCUUUGCCCACAGUAGGUACUCGAUAAAUGUGUGAUUAAUUAAAUUGAGUCAGUGAGCAAUGACUGCUUUUGUUUUGUUUUGUUUUGUUUCCAAAUGGGUCGCGUUUUUCUAAAUGGAAAUCCUGGGGCUGCCCUCGUAGGUGAAGAUCACCUUCUUCCCUUCCGCAUUCCAGACAUGUGCCCAGAGGCCUUGGGCGGGUGAGGGAGAGGAGGGUCCAAAAUGAGCUCACUGACAUCAAAAUCCUCUAAGGCUUCAGAACCUGGCACUUGACAUUUUUCACAUUCUCUAGAGAUACUGGCUUACGUUUAAACUUCAUUCCCUUUCCCGUUUCCUCUCCCUGUCCCCCCAACGAAAUGAAUUAUCUUUGCCUGUCCCUUAUACAGUCAACCAUUUCAAAACAAACUCGCCUCCCGGACAGAGGGUAGCUUUAGGGACCCUUGUAACCAGGCUGAGGCACCGGGAGCUAAUAUUAAACCAGUGACCUCGGAUCUCCCCGAGAGCACAUGGGGGCCACCACACCUGAGAAGCUUGUUCUUUGACCCAAGACACACACCUGCUGUAGGAAUAAAGUGGAUUUCCCAUGUGAAAUUGUCCCUGACGCCCCAACUUGA